This 427-nucleotide long non-coding RNA is filed under the name Taeniopygia guttata (zebra finch). RNAcentral's name for it is "lncRNA (ENSTGUG00000029543.1)". The record is from RNAcentral. Lineage: Eukaryota; Metazoa; Chordata; Aves; Passeriformes; Estrildidae.
AAAGGCACAUAAAAAACCUGGAAGCAGAGAUGCAGUGUAACUGACUAUCAGUUCUCCAUUCAGUAACUAUAAUUUUCUUUCCUUGCUUGAUAGGUACUUUUAAAUUUGGCUGACUUAGAACCAUUAGUUUUGAUUGGAUCAAGUUUACUAAGCCAGCCAUCUCUUAGAAGGCUGAACAACUGGACAUUGCUUUCCAGAGUGAUGAGCCAGAACACCAUUGCUCCAAUGAGAACUUGCUCCAAUAUUAAGCCUGAAAUAUAAUAAUACCAGCACUAGGUUUUACAGAAAGAAGAGGAUAAAUAAUUUAUAUUUGCAAUCCUUCCACCUUUAUGAAAAAUGUGAAAAUUCUGCUCUACAGGUCUUCAGGUCUUUUGAUAUGAAAUACACACUUGUCAACAUUGCUGAGAUUCCUUGUCUGUGGAGAUAA